CGACGUCUCGGGAGGUGAUGAUGCCC
This 26-nucleotide non-coding RNA is filed under the name Homo sapiens (human). Lineage: Eukaryota; Metazoa; Chordata; Mammalia; Primates; Hominidae. The record is from RNAcentral.